Molecule: non-coding RNA, 148 nt
Organism: Gorilla gorilla gorilla (western lowland gorilla)
Lineage: Eukaryota; Metazoa; Chordata; Mammalia; Primates; Hominidae
Rfam family: Metazoan signal recognition particle RNA
About the family: The signal recognition particle (SRP) is a universally conserved ribonucleoprotein. It is involved in the co-translational targeting of proteins to membranes. The eukaryotic SRP consists of a 300-nucleotide 7S RNA and six proteins: SRPs 72, 68, 54, 19, 14, and 9.
Source: Rfam
GCUGGGUGUGGUGGAGCACACCUGUGGUCCCAGCUUCCUGGGAGGCAGAGGUGGGAGGAUUGCUUGAGCUCAGGAGGCUGAGGCUGCAGUGAACCAUGAUCCCACCACUGCACUCCAGCCUGGGUGACAGAGUGAGACCCUGUCUCCA